GAUGAAGAACGUAGCGAAAUGCGAUAAGUAAUGUGAAUUGCAGAAUUCAGUGAAUCAUCGAAUCUUUGAACGCACAUUGCGCCCGCCAGUAUUCUGGCGGGCAUGCCUGUUCGAGCGUCAUUUCAACCCUCAGGCCCCGCCUGGCGUUGGGGAUCGGCGCGGCCCUCUCCGGGCUGCCGGCCCCGAAAACUAGUGGCGGUCUCGCUGUAGUCCUCCUCUGCGCAGUAGCAACGCUCGCACUGGAACUGGGCGCGGCCACGCCGUAAAACACCCCACUUCUGAAAGUUGACCUCGGAUCAGGUAGGAAUACCCGCUGAACUUAAGCAUAUCAAUAAGCGGAGGA
RNAcentral lists this unclassified non-coding RNA (343 nucleotides) under soil metagenome. Its description in RNAcentral is "partial contains 5.8S ribosomal RNA, internal transcribed spacer 2, and large subunit ribosomal RNA". The stretch from base 1 to 120 matches the Rfam family "5.8S ribosomal RNA", at positions 35 to 154 of the family's 154-position model. The record is from RNAcentral.